AUUGAACGCUGGCGGCAUGCCUUACACAUGCCAGUCGAACGGCAGCACGGGUGCUUGCCCCUGGUGGCGAGUGGCGAACGGGUGAGUAAUACAUCGGAACAUGUCCUGUAGUGGGGGAUAGCCCGGCGAAAGCCGGAUUAAUACCGCAUACGAUCUCCGGAUGAAAGCGGGGGACCUUCGGGCCUCGCGCUAUCGGGUUGGCCGAUGGCUGAUUAGCUAGUUGGUGGGGUAAAGGCCUACCAAGGCGACGAUCAGUAGCUGGUCUGAGAGGACGACCAGCCACACUGGGACUGAGACACGGCCCAGACUCCUACGGGAGGCAGCAGUGGGGAAUUUUGGACAAUGGGCGAAAGCCUGAUCCAGCAAUGCCGCGUGUGUGAAGAAGGCCUUCGGGUUGUAAAGCACUUUUGUCCGGAAAGAAAUCCUUGGCCCUAAUACGGUCGGGGGAUGACGGUACCGGAAGAAUAAGCACCGGCUAACUACGUG
Molecule: ribosomal RNA, 486 nt
Filed under: uncultured bacterium
Lineage: Bacteria
Description: partial 16S ribosomal RNA
Rfam family: Bacterial small subunit ribosomal RNA
Source: RNAcentral